UACGUAGGGGGGCAAGCGUUGUCCGGAAUCAUUGGGCGUAAAGCGCGUGUAGGCGGCUCGAUAAGUCUGCUGUGAAAGUUCAGGGCUCAACCCUGAAAUGCCGGUGGAAACUGUCGGGCUAGAGUCCGGAAGAGGCGAGUGGAAUUCCUGGUGUAGCGGUGAAAUGCGCAGAUAUCAGGAGGAACACCAAUGGCGAAGGCAGCUCGCUGGGACGGUACUGACGCUGAGACGCGAAAGCGUGGGGAGCAAACAGG
RNAcentral lists this ribosomal RNA (254 nucleotides) under uncultured bacterium. RNAcentral's name for it is "partial 16S ribosomal RNA". It matches the Rfam family "Bacterial small subunit ribosomal RNA", at positions 524 to 776 of the family's 1533-position model. The record is from RNAcentral.